Molecule: long non-coding RNA, 473 nt
Filed under: Mytilus galloprovincialis (Mediterranean mussel)
Lineage: Eukaryota; Metazoa; Mollusca; Bivalvia; Mytilida; Mytilidae
Source: RNAcentral
CAAGGAAAAACACAAAAGACUAUUUGACCAUUGUCUGCCACCUUAACUGAAAUGUAUAGAUUAUCCUAAAUAAUAUACAUAUUAUGUCACAUGGUCAGUUUGCCAAUUAGUAAAAUCAGUCAAAUCUUCAAAUAUACUGCUGUAUAAAUCAAGUUGUAAAAAAGAAGAUUUGGAACGAUUGCAAACACUUAACAAAUGACCAAAGAACACAGAAAUCAACAACAUUAGGUCACCGUACGGCUUUCAACUAUGAGCAAGGCCAAUACCGCACAGUCAGCUUUAACAUCCUCGAAAUGACAAAUGUUAAACAAUUUCUACAAUAAAACUAACGUCCUAAAUUAAGUACAGAAAAUGAACGAAAAACAAAUAUGUAAAACAUCAAUAAACGACAACAACUGAAUAACGGGCUCCUAGCUUCGGAUAGGCACGUACAUACAAAAUGUGGAGUUAAACAUGUUAACGGGAUCCCAACC